AAUCAACGCUGGCGGCGUGCCUAACACAUGCAAGUCGAACGAGAAAGUGGAGCAAUCCAUGAGUAAAGUGGCGCACGGGUGAGUAACACGUGACUAACCUACCCUUGAGUGGGGGAUAACCUAGGGAAACCUGGGCUAAUACCGCAUAAUAUCGAGAGAUCAAAGGAGCAAUUCGCUUAAGGAGGGGGUCGCGGCUGAUUAGCUAGUUGGUGGGGUAAUGGCCCACCAAGGCNGUGAUCAGUAUCCGGCCUGAGAGGGCGCACGGACACACUGGAACUGAAACACGGUCCAGACUCCUACGGGAGGCAGCAGUGGGGAAUUUUGCGCAAUGGGGGAAACCCUGACGCAGCAACGCCGCGUGGAGGAUGAAGUCCCUUGGGACGUAAACUCCUUUCGAUCGGGACGAUAAUGACGGUACCGAGAGAAGAAGCCCCGGCUAACUUCGUGCCAGC
RNAcentral lists this ribosomal RNA (452 nucleotides) under uncultured bacterium. RNAcentral's name for it is "bacterial SSU rRNA". It matches the Rfam family "Bacterial small subunit ribosomal RNA", at positions 32 to 512 of the family's 1533-position model. The record is from RNAcentral.